This 53-nucleotide non-coding RNA is filed under the name unclassified sequences. Its description in RNAcentral is "chromate-resist RNA". It matches the Rfam family "chrB-b RNA". The record is from RNAcentral.
CCGGGUCCUACGGCAGACACCCGGCAGUCAGGACGAUCCGUCUCAAGCGCUGC